ACCCAAUAGAUACCCGGGUAGUCCACGCCCUAAACGAUGUAUGCUUGGUGUUGGCUCGUAUGAGUCAGUGCCGUAGGUAAACCUGAUAAGCAUACCACCUGGGGAGUACGCUCGCAAGGGUGAGACUCAAAGGAAUUGACGGGGGCCCGCACAAGCGGUGGAGCAUGUGGUUUAAUUCGAGGCUACGCGAAGAACCUUACCUGGGCUUGAACUGCCGGUAGUAGGACCCUGAAAGGGGAACGACCCGCAAGGGAGCCGGCGGAGGUGCUGCAUGGCUGCCGUCAGCUCGUGCCGUGAGGUGUUGGGUUAAGUCCCGCAACGAGCGCAACCCCUACCCUUAGUUGCCAUCAGGUUAUGCUGGGCACUCUAAGGGGACUGCCUACGCAAGUAGUGAGGAAGGUGGGGAUGAUGUCAAGUCAUCAUGGUCCUUACGUCCAGGGCUACACACGUGCUACAAUGAACGGUACAAUGGGCAAAACCGCAAGGUGGAGGCAAUCCCAAAAACCGUCCUCAGUACGGAUUGGAGUCUGCAACUCGACUCC
Molecule: ribosomal RNA, 542 nt
Filed under: uncultured bacterium
Lineage: Bacteria
Description: bacterial SSU rRNA
Rfam family: Bacterial small subunit ribosomal RNA
Source: RNAcentral